CGCGGUAAUACGGAGGGUGCGAGCGUUAAUCGGAAUUACUGGGCGUAAAGCGCGCGUAGGCGGUUUGUUAAGUCGGAUGUGAAAGCCCUGGGCUUAACCUGGGAACUGCAUUCGAUACUGGCCAACUAGAGUGCGAGAGAGGGAGGUAGAAUUCCACGUGUAGCGGUGAAAUGCGUAGAUAUGUGGAGGAAUACCGGUGGCGAAGGCGGCCUCCUGGCUCGACACUGACGCUGAGGUGCGAAAGCGUGGGGAGCGAACAGGAUUAGAUACCCUGGUAGUCCACGCCGUAAACGAUGAGUGCUAAGUGU
RNAcentral lists this ribosomal RNA (308 nucleotides) under Oxyrrhis marina. RNAcentral's name for it is "partial Bacterial small subunit ribosomal RNA". It matches the Rfam family "Bacterial small subunit ribosomal RNA", at positions 516 to 823 of the family's 1533-position model. The record is from RNAcentral. Lineage: Eukaryota; Dinophyceae; Oxyrrhinales; Oxyrrhinaceae.